Molecule: long non-coding RNA, 1525 nt
Filed under: Sus scrofa (pig)
Lineage: Eukaryota; Metazoa; Chordata; Mammalia; Artiodactyla; Suidae
Description: lncRNA (ENSSSCG00070030369.1)
Source: RNAcentral
GCAUAGUGGAGACAGCAUCUGAUAUAGGCCUCGAAGAACCCACAGGGUUGCGAAUACAGGAGAGGCCACUCCAGAUGGAAGGUCUCCCACUUGUUCUAUAGGCAGUUAGUUACACCACGGGGCCCAUGCUACCAGCCAGAUUUUUAGAAGACCCCUACAAAUGCUGGGGUCCGACCUGGGAGGCACUUCCGCUGAGCAGUUGGCUAAGUUUAGAUUCGGAGAGUGCAAGGGGGAGCUCGGACUCAUGCAGGUGGGCACCCUCUUCCUUCCUUAGCUCUGACUCUCCGCGAGCCGCUCCCACCAGAGAAAGGUUGCUUGGGCCAUACAGACUGCAGAGGCUGCCGCUCCCCACACCAGAUUCCUGCGCUUCGGAGCGCGGCUGCAAUGAGGAGACCUGGGUCCCGCCCCAACCCGAGGGGGGAGGCGCAGCGCCCAGCUCAGGGAGCUUCUUCCCCACCCCCCUCCUUCCUCCCGCUGCAGCUGAGGCUGUGGAGACUGCCUGAGCGGGGGUGGGGGGCAGGGUAAGGGGCGGAGCCAGGGAGGAGUCGCGGCGUUGGCUGCCCCGGCGGCAGCAGGUGUGGACCCCACCGAGGUGCGGGGCUAACCACUCCCGCCUGCGCUUGCGGGAGGCCGAGGCUCUGGGGCCAGGACUGCCUACCUGGAGGCGCUUCGUGUGCGGCUUCAACCUGCGCACAACUUGGGGCGCGGCCCGGGACGCGCAGGUUCCACGUCUGGCGCCUGGAAGAGAAAGACGCACGGCCCAAGUCGCGGCGCUAGCUCGGACCUGACCUGAGAGGAGGCGGCCUGAGGGCGGCGGGGGCUGAGGGCCAGCGGGAUGGCGCCUCUGCUUGGGACCCUGGCGAGGCCGCGCGGCGCCUCCGCACUCCAGCCCGACCCUCAGGUAAAGAUGGAUUCCCUCAAAAUACCUCUUCACGGCCAUUUCCAGGGCAGAUGCCUGCUCUCCCCUCACCUGCACCAAGCAGGACUCCAGGUCUUCCAGAUGCUGAUGGAGUCCAGAGCAGAGCUUGUCCAGGAGGGUGGAGUCCCAGGCAGCAGAGGAGCGCUCUGUGUGGAGGAGGAGGAAGGUCUGCUGGAGCAUCUCAUGGAGGACAGAGAUGGCCUGGGUCUUCUGCAGCUGGCUGCCUUCCACCAUCUCCUGGGGAACCCGAAGUCUUUUCUAUCCUUCAGACAGAAGGAAGGGGAGAGUCUCCUCAUCUGACGCAGAAGCACCAGGUUCUUCCUGCUGACAUGCACGUGGUUCUGAAACAGGUCACAGCCCAGAGAUGCCCAGGGCCAUAGCUGAACACCACCAGGGCCGUCAAUAGAGAGAGCACGAAGGCCAUGGGGAAAAUGAGGGUGCAACUGGCCUGGCUGAGACCUUGCAGGUAGGUUCUCUGAUGACAUUCUCCCUAAGCAUGGCUUUUAAAUAAGGAACACAGUUUCCAUUUUCUGAAAAUUUCUCUGUACUUUCACUUCCACUUUGUUUUUCAUUUAGAUAUUUUCUGUUUGACCUGAGAAUAUGUAA